Molecule: long non-coding RNA, 7896 nt
Filed under: Gossypium barbadense (sea-island cotton)
Lineage: Eukaryota; Viridiplantae; Streptophyta; Magnoliopsida; Malvales; Malvaceae
Description: long non-coding RNA (GBAR_LNC010235)
Source: RNAcentral
CGAUCUUGCUGUAAUAAUUUCAAUUAAUACGCUCGUAAAAUCCCAACGAUGAGGUACGUUUCGUAUAUGCAUUUGAGUAGUGAUUCCGUUUAAAUAUUAUUCGCUCAGUCGAUUAAUGAGCUUUCGGCCUUUGGUUAAGUUGAUCCCUUAUGUAUGAAUAUAAGGGUUGGAAAUGUGAAGUAGGACUGAUUUUUGAAAAUAUGUGUAUAUGAGAUUAUUCGUUUAGUUAUAUGAAUGCUAUACUUCAGUUGUGCCUAAUUUCAUUGCUCAAAACUUACUAAGCAUUAAAUGCUUACUCCGUUUCUUUGAUUCUCUGUUUUAUAGAUUUUGGUUCGUCAGCUAUCGGACUCGGGAUUGUCGAAGUCGAAGUCGUCCACACUAUCAAAGCCCUUUGGUACUCUUUUAUGUGAACUCUGAUAAUGGCAUGUAUAGGACUACCCUUUUUGUUGUUGGUCAUGUACCCUUUGGUUUUGUGUAAAUUUGGAUAGCCAUGCGAAAAUGGCUUAAAUAUACUUUGAUCAUAGCAUUAUAAUCGUUUUGUAUGUUGUUCAUUGAGAGGUAUGGAAAUUUUUGGUAACGAUUAGCCAUUGGAAUGGUUAAUCAUGAUCAUUUUGGUGCUAUGUAUGACAAACUCUAGUUGAUUCGCGGAAAACCAUGAAAUAGGUGAAGUUACCUUAAAAAUAGAUGCUGACAGCAGCAGUGGUAUGGAUUUGAAAAAUCACUAAAAAUAGUAGGAAUGGAAUUAAAUAGUGAAUAAAUUAUGUAAUCGAACCUUGAUGAAUCUAAUUUCAUAUGGAAGAAACGAAACGAUCAUAUGAGUCGUAUUUUAAGAUAUAUUUAAGUUGUCGUGGAAUAGGGCCAGAGCGAUUUCUAGAUCCCUUGAUCUGACUUUGGAAAUUCAUUAUAAAUUAACCAGAGAUAAUUAGAAGUCAUGCCUUAUAUGUACAGAUUCCUUUUUGAGCCUAGUUUCUUGAGAAACAAACGGCAUAAGUAUUGAAGCUCUUUACAAGGAGAUAUCUAAAUCGUAAUGCAUGAAGGUCAGAGUAGUCGAACCCUGAAUCAGGGGAGACUUUAACUAAUAAACUGUACUAAUUGGCCAGACCAAAAAUUCUAGAAAAAAAAUUGUAGAUGGAUAUAUGAGUCUAGUUUCAGGAAAAAUUUACGAAACUGGUUUUCAAGUUUUGGAACUCAAGAUAUGAUUUUUAAGGUGACAGUGACGCAGUUAGCCAGCUUGUCUGGAAAUUUUUAAAAUGGACUGAGAAAAUAAAUGAAUUAAGUUUGUUAGCACCUCGUGUUCGACUCCGGCAACGGUCUCGGGUACGGGGUGUUACAAUUUUAUUGGUAUCAGAGCUACGGUUUAGUCGAUUCUAGGACUACCGUAAUACAUUUGGGUCUAGCUAUACAUGCCAUUAUGUGAUUAUUUGAUAGUGUGGUGUUUUCUGACAAUUGAAAAUGUGUUUAUUUAUAGUAAUGGAUCCCGAUCCCAACCGAGCGGUAGCUGAUGAUCUUGAGAGUGUGGCACCCGCUCCCGCACAAGGGACAGCGCCAGCGGACUCUCAACCUAUUGCUAGUAAUCCGAAUGAUGAAGCUAGACAAGCUUUUUAUAGCGUGAUGAAUGAUUGGUUCAACCAAUACAUUCGAACUAAUACGGCUGUUCCACAACCUCCAUUCCCGACUAAUACCACCCCCGCACCUACAAUACCUCCGGCAACUGACCAAAUAAGGUCAAAUAAGCCCCCAGUUGACAGAAUCCGAAAAUACGGGGCUACUGAAUUUAAAGCUACGGACAGCGAUGAUGCCGAGCAAGCUGAAUUUUGGUUGGACAACACUAUUCAGGUACUCGAUGAGCUAUCUUGCACACCCGAUGAGUGCCUAAAGUGUACUAUCUCCUUGCUACGUGAUUCUGCCUUCUAUUGGUGGAAUACAUUAACUUCUGUUGUGUCCAGAGAGCAAGUAACUUGGGAGUUUUUCCAAACCGAGUUUCGAAAAAAGUAUAUCAGUCAGAGAUUCAUGGAUCAAAAACGGAAGGAAUUUCUUGAACUUAAAUAAGGUUCCAUGUCAGUUACCGACUAUGAACGAAAAUUUGUAAGGCUUAGCCGGUACGCUCGAGAAUGUAUUUCCUCAGAAGCCGUGAUGUGUAAACGUUUCGAGGAUGGGCUGAAUGAUGAUAUAAAGCUGUAUGUUGGCAUUUUGGAAAUCUGAGAAUUUGUGCUACUUGUCGAGCGAGCUUGCAAAGCCGAGGAGCUCAAUAUGGAGAAAAGAAAAGCUGAGGUGGGAGCAAAGGAGUUUCGUAAGGGGUCUUCGGGGAAGCCCUUGCAACAGUCGUCGAAGAAAUUUAGAGAUGACUUAGGCCGGUCUAGAGACACUUCGGGUUUUUCUAGACGAGAUCGCGAUCGACCCCCUGUGAGUGCACGAGUCACUUCGGUCGCCAGUUUUGGAUAUGAUCGUCGAGACAGAACGGAGUGUCAGUAUUGUGGUAAAUGGAAUUCGGGGAGUUGUAGAUUCCAUGACCACUCCUGUUACAAGUGCGGAUCAGCUGACCACUUUAUUAAAGAUUGCCUGAGAUUGUCUGAAUAGAACGUAAAUCAGAGUGGGAAACCUGGUGCUACCACUGCUCGGGGUAGACCAUCUAGAAAUACGGGCAAUGCUAGUGGCGGUCAGAGAGGAUCUAGAGAUGCUACAACCAGAUCUGAGGCUCGUGCUCCUGCUAGAGCUUAUGCUAUACGCGCACGCGAGGAUGCUUCCUCGCCAAAUGUUAUUACCGGUACUUUUACUCUCUUUGAUACUAAUGUGAAUGCUUUGAUUGACUCUGGUUCUACCCAUUCUUAUAUAUGUGAAACAUUAGCAUCCAGUAAGACUCUACCUGUUGAGUCUACUGAGUUUGUAAUUCGGGUGUCAAAUCCUUUGGGUCGUUACGUGCUUGUCGACAAAGUGUGUAAGAAAUGUCCCCUAGUAAUCCGAGGUUCCUGUUUUCCGGCCGAUUUGAUGCUUUUUCUGUUUGAUGAAUUUGAUGUUAUCCUCGGUUUAGAUUGGUUGACCGUGCAUGAUGCGGUUGUGAAUUGCAAAAGCAAGACUAUUGAUUUGAGGUGCGCAAAUAACGAGAUAAUCCGAGUUGAGUCUACGGACUUAAAGGGGUUGCCAGCUGUAAUGUCAUCAAUGUUGGCUCAGAAAUAUGUAAGAAAGGGGUGCGAAGCAUACCUUGCGUAUGUACUUGAUGACAAAGAGUUAGAAAAGAAACCCGAAUCUGUGCCGGUGGUUUGUGAAUACCCGGAUGUUUUUCCCGAAGAAUUACCGGGUUUACCACCUGUUCGGGAGGUAGAGUUUGGUAUUGAGCUUGUACCCGGGACUACGCCGAUUUUGAUAGCUCCGUAUCGUAUGGCACCAACCGAGUUAAAAGAGUUGAAAGCUCAGUUGCAAGAAUUGACGGAUAGAGGUUUCGCUCGACCAAGUUUCUCACCUUGGGGUGCACCAGUAUUGUUUGUGAAAAAGAAGGACGGAACCAUGAGGUUGUGCAUCGACUAUCGUCAGCUGAAUAAAGUGACAAUAAAGAAUAAAUAUCCGAUACCGCGCAUUGACGAUUUGUUUGAUCAACUAAAGGGAGCCUCAGUGUUUUCAAAGAUAGAUUUGAGGUCGGGUUAUUAUCAAUUGUGAAUUCGAGAUUCGGAUAUACCCAAAACAGCUUUCAGAAUGAGAUACGGUCACUACGAAUUCUUAGUGAUGCCGUUUGGGCUCACUAAUGCCCCCGCGGUAUUUAUGGAUUUGAUGAAUCGGAUCUUCAGACCGUAUUUGGAUCGGUUUGUAGUUGUGUUUAUCGAUGAUAUUUUGGUCUAUUCGAGAAAUGAAACCGAUCAUGCUGAACACCUGGGAUUAGUGUUGCAAAUUUUACGGGAUAAGCAGUUAUAUGCUAAGUUCAGUAAGUGUGAGUUCUGGUUAAGAGAGGUUAGCUUCUUGGGUCAUGUGGUAUCUGCAUCGGGUAUUCGAGUUGAUCCGAACAAAAUUUCAGCCAUACUGAACUAGAAGCCUCCGAGAAAUAUUACUGAGGUUCAGAGCUUUUUGGGACUUGCCGGUUACUACCAACGGUUUGUAAAAGGUUUCUCGAUGAUAGCCACACCAAUGACGAAACUACUUCAGAAAGAUGUUAAGUUUGAAUGGACGGAAAAGUGUUAGAAAAGUUUCGAUCAAUUGAAAACUCAUUUGAUGGAAGCUCCAGUACUAGUGCAGCCCGAAUCAGGCAAAGAGUUCGUCAUUUACAGUGAUGCAUCCUUACUUGGGUUGGGUUGUGUAUUAAUGCAAGAAGGUCGAGUUGUAGCUUAUGCGUCGAGGCAACUGAAGCCACAUGAAAAGAAUUAUCCAACCCAUGAUCUCGAACUGGCUGCCAUCGUAUUCACUUUGAAAAUAUGGCGACAUUACUUAUUUGGUGAGAAGUGCCAUGUAUAUUCGGAUCACAAAAGUCUCAAAUAUUUGAUGACUCAAAGAGACUUGAAUCUGCGACAAAGACGUUGGCUCGAGUUGUUGAAAGAUUAUGAGCUUGUCAUUGACUAUCACCUGGGAAAGGCUAAUGUGGUUGCGGAUGCCUUAAGUCGUAAAACACUGUUUGCUUUACGAGCGAUGAAUGUACACUUGUCUGUUCUAUCCGACAAUGUGUUAGUGGCAGAAUUAAAGGCCAAACCAUUGUUGAUUCAUCAAAUUCGUGAAGCUCAGAAAGCCGAUGAUGAACUGGUUGCAAAACGGGCUGAAUGUGUUCCAAAUAUGGAAUCAGAGUUUCAAAUUGAUGAUGACGAUUGUUUGAGGUUCAGAAGUCGUUUGUGUGUUCCAAGAAAUUCAGAACUCAUUUUGAUGAUUCUGAACGAAGCUCAUUGUAGCCGAAUGUCAAUUCACACGGGGAGUACGAAAAUGUACAACAAUCUGAGACGUCAGUUUUGGUGGCAUGGUAUGAAACAAGACAUUUCCGAUUUUGUUUCGAAGUGUUUAAUAUGUCAGCAAGUGAAGGCGGAACAUCAAGUGCCUACGGUUUUACUUCAGCCGAUCAUGAUACCUGAAUGGAAAUGGGAUCGAGUCACGACGGAUUUUGUAUUUGGGUUGCCAGUAUCGGCAAGUAAGAAAGAUGCGAUUUGGGUUGUUGUUGAUAGACUGACUAAGUCGGCUCACUUUAUCCCCGUACGUACGGAUUUUUCAUUGGAUAAAUUAGCUGAAUUGUAUGUUUCUCAGAUUGUGAGAUUACAAGGGGUACCUAUUUCUAUUGUGUCGGAUAGAGAUCCGAGAUUCACCUCACGAUUUUGGAAGAAAUUACAAGAAGCUUUGGGUACCAAGGUGUAUUUUAGCACCGCCUUUCACCCCCAAACCGAUGGUCAAUCCGAGCGGAUAAUUCAGAUACUUGAGGAUAUGUUGAGAUGUUGCAUCCUCGAGUUUAGUGGUUCAUGGGAGCGGUAUUUACCUUUGAUUGAAUUCGCUUACAACAAUAGUUUUCAAUCAAGUAUUAAGAUGGCACCUUACGAGGCUUUGCAUGGUCGUAAAUGCCGUACAACAAUAGUUUUAAAUCAAGUAUUAAGAAUGUUACCCAAACCUAUUUACCGGUAAGAUUUUUGGGGACGAAAAUUUCUUAAGUGGGGGAGAGUUGUGACAGCCCUAAAGUGACCCUAGUCGAAAAGCGAUUUCGGGACCGCUAAACCGAGUCACCAAAUUAUUUAAAUAUGAUAUUAAUUGUCUAAAAUAUGUGAAUAUGAAUGUGUGAAAGUUUAAAGCUUCGAUUUAGUUAAUUGCAUGUGAAUUUAGUUAAUAGGAAUUAUGUGUGACACUUUUGAAAUGUGAUAGGUUAAUCUAUAAGGAUCUAUUAGUGCAUGUAAUCAAAAGGGUGGACUUGCAUGUCAAUUUCGCCCUCCUAAUUAGUAGUGGCCGGCCAUGAGCAUGAGGGUGGACAAAAUGUUAUGGCUAAAACAUGUCAUAAACAUGUUGGGUUAAUGCUUUAUGUUAGGAAUAAUAAAAUAAAGAACAUGGGAAAUAAAAUAUUAGUGUUAGUAGGAGGAGAAACAAAAAAAAAUGUGUGUGGUUGUUCCCCCAUUGUGCCGUAGCUAGAAGAAAAAAAAAAGAAAAAGAAAGGCUUCAUCCUCUUUGUUCUUCUUGAUCGAAAAAUCAAAGGAAGAAGAAAGGAGUUUUCUUGCUUCAUGUUCGGUUGGUUGGUGUUUAGGAGGAGGUAUGUUUGAUGUUGUUCCAUGAGAUUCAUGCAUGUUUUUAGUUGUUAGCUUGAGUUCUACCUAGCCCAUGGUUUAAAUCUUUGCUAUGUGAUGAAGAUGAACUAAGUUUCGGCUAAGGUGGAUUUGUGUUGAUGUCAUUUGCAUGCUAAAUGUGAAGCUUUGUAAUGAUACAUGUGAUGGUGGAUUUAUGACUCUUGGAUUUUCUUUUUAGCAUUUUUUUUGAGUUAGACAUUAAGUUCUUUGUUUAAACCAUGACCAAAAUUGAAAUGGUAUGGUGUCUUGAUGCAUUCGGCCAUGGUAGGAAGUAGAAGAGAAAAAUGGUUGUUGCUCAUGUUAUUUGGAUGAGAAAUGGUAGUAAGGUGAAGUGCAAAUGUUAGUAUUUGAUUACUAAUGCAUAUAUGUGUAUUAGCCGAGUUUUGAAUUUGAAACAAAAUGGUAUGUAGUCAAUACAAGUAACCAUAUUUGUAGGAAGUAUUAAGCAUAUAUUGGCCUCAACAUAGACAUGCAUAUUCGGCCACAUGAGAUAGAUUGGUGUUGCAUGUAUUCAGUUAGGGGCAAGCAUAUUGAUGCUUUUAUCUUGACUUAGAUAAUCGGCUCAAGGAGAAUUUGUUAAGUGCUUAGUUAAUUGAUAUUAGGUUAAUGAUGUGUGUAUUCGGUCAUAAAGGUGCACAUGAGGAAAUGUUUGAUUAAUUGUAUUAAAUUGCUCAAUGUGAUUAAAAAUGCCUAUGAUCAUUUUGUAUUUGAGCUAAAGGUGGCCAUAUGACCUAUCAAACCCCUUGUCAUAUUCGACCAUAAGCAAGCAUAAUGAGACUUUAAUAAGUUAAAUUUGUUUGAAUUAGCUCAAGAGCUUAGAGGACCACAGUUGGAUAAGGGAAAGGAAAAAGUGAUCGAAUAGCCGCCGAAAUCGUUCGACCACAUCCGAGGUAAGUCUUUGAGUAAUGGAGCUUAGAUUAUGAUUCGAUUAGAUCAUGUUUUAAGUAAAUCAAAAUCAUGCUCUUGUAUGAAGCUAUUGAGCCGAAAAUGAUAAUGCUUGAUAAGUGACUUGUGUUUGAAUUCUAGUUAUGAAAUUGAAAUAUAGAUGUGUCAUGAUCUAUUGAUAUGUGCAUGGAUAUUCGGAUGAUAACCGGGCUAAGUCCCAAAGGCAUUUGUGCUAGUGACUAAUUCCGGGCUAAGCCCGAAGGCAAUUGUGCGAGUUACUAUAUCCGGGCUAAGUCCCGAAGGCAUUUGUGCGAGUUACUAUAACCGGGUUAAGUCCCGAAGGCAUUUGUGCGAGUUAUUAUAACCGGGCUAAGUCCCGAAGGCAUUUGAGUGAGUAGUUAUAUCCGGCUAAAUCCCAAAGGUACUUGGUUGGGAAUGAGCGAUCUUGCUGUAAUAAUUUCAAUUAAUACGCUCGUAAAAUCCCAACGAUGAGGUACGUUUCGUAUAUGCAUUUGAGUAGUGAUUCCGUUUAAAUAUUAUUCGCUCAGUCGAUUAAUGAGCUUUCGGCCUUUGGUUAAGUUGAUCCCUUAUGUAUGAAUAUAAGGGUUGGAAAUGUGAAGUAGGACUGAUUUUUGAAAAUAUGUGUAUAUGAGAUUAUUCGUUUAGUUAUAUGAAUGCUAUACUUCAGUUGUGCCUAAUUUCAUUGCUCAAAACUUACUAAGCAUUAAAUGCUUACUCCGUUUCUUUGAUUCUCUGUUUUAUAGAUUUUGGUUCGUCAGCUAUCGGA